RNAcentral lists this long non-coding RNA (1118 nucleotides) under Musa acuminata (dwarf banana). Its description in RNAcentral is "long non-coding RNA (MACU_LNC004390)". Lineage: Eukaryota; Viridiplantae; Streptophyta; Magnoliopsida; Zingiberales; Musaceae. The record is from RNAcentral.
GAGAAAAAGCACAAGCAUUACUAAAAGGUAUUCCUUGGUAAAUCUAGCAAAUGUUCUCAUGCAAGCACCUUUAUAGUAUUCAAUUUUCUAUGAUGUUUAUUACAACAGGAAGCUAGUAUAGUUAGAGGCUGAGGUCAAUGAUGGUCACAUCUGAAAUCAUUAAACUGCUACUGAUCUAGAGAGGUGUUUAUUUCAUGGUAUGAAACUAGAGUCAAAAUCAUUUCAGGCAACUGAGUCAUAAGGGAAAGAGUGUCAACUGACACUCAUGAAACACCGUGUUAGACUAAAUAUGAUAGUUUCCUUGACACAACUUCAAUAGUGUCCUAAGAGGCAGAAACACCGUGUUAGAAUAUAUCAAUGUGUUUUCAUGUCCAAAACAGAAACUACCUGACAACUAAAAGAUAAAAAAGGGCUGGCCACAUACAUACAAAGUUUCUAAGUGUCCUAAGAGGCAGUCGCAACCAGAACAAGCAGCAUAGUCUUCUGCCAUAUUAUAUUUAUGCUACUCAAAGCCUAGCUACCUUCUCUUUCAGUUUGCAAAUAGUUAUAAUGGUGGUUGGGUAGCAAAUAAUAUUUCACAGCAAAAUGAUCUAUGAGGUCACAUUUUCUAAAUUUAACAAAAGAAUAUCAGAAUUGUUGCCUAAAAAUUAACUUAUGGGACAAGGAAAUAGAUCUUGAGUGCUGAUCUGCACCUCUAGUAUCUAUUAUGCCACUUAUGCAGAAACCUCUAGUUGACCACUGCCAGAAGAUCAGGGGAGUACAGAGUCCAAUAUUCUACAGUGUCAUAUGUUAGCAAAGUUCUGCUAGUGAAAUCAGGUAGUGUAAAUACAAACUCACUUUAUCAUUUCGGUUGAUCCUAAUCAUGAAGGUCCAGGAGAAAAAGCACAAGCAUUACUAAAAGGUAUUCCUUGGUAAAUCUAGCAAAUGUUCUCAUGCAGGCACCUUUAUAUUAUUCAAUUUUGUAUGAUGUUUAUUACAAUAGGAAGCUAGUAUAGUUAGAGGCUGAGGUCAAUGAUGGUCACAUCUGAAAUCAUUAAACUGCUACUGAUCUAGAGAGGUGUUUAUUUCAUGGUAUGAAACUAGAGUCAAAAUCAUUUCAGGCAACUGAGUCAUAAGGG